Molecule: ribosomal RNA, 467 nt
Filed under: uncultured bacterium
Lineage: Bacteria
Description: partial 16S ribosomal RNA
Rfam family: Bacterial small subunit ribosomal RNA
Source: RNAcentral
GACGAACGCUGGCGGCGUGCUUAACACAUGCAAGUCGAACGGAAAGGCCUCUUUCGGGGGGUACUCGAGUGGCGAACGGGUGAGUAACACGUGAGUAACCUGCCCUUGACUUUGGGAUAACUUCAGGAAACUGGGGCUAAUACCGGAUAGGAGCUCCUGCUGCAUGGUGGGGGUUGGAAAGUUUCGGCGGUUGGGGAUGGACUCGCGGCUUAUCAGCUUGUUGGUGGGGUAGUGGCUUACCAAGGCUUUGACGGGUAGCCGGCCUGAGAGGGUGACCGGCCACAUUGGGACUGCGAUACGGCCCAGACUCCUACGGGAGGCAGCAGUGGGGAAUAUUGCACAAUGGGUGGAAGCCUGAUGCAGCAACGCCGUGUGCGGGAUGACGGCCUUCGGGUUGUAAACCGCUUUCGCUCAUGACGAAGCUUUGUGUGACGGUAGUGGGUAAAGAAGCACCGGCUAACUACGUG